This 253-nucleotide ribosomal RNA is filed under the name Phocaeicola barnesiae. Its description in RNAcentral is "partial 16S ribosomal RNA". It matches the Rfam family "Bacterial small subunit ribosomal RNA", at positions 524 to 776 of the family's 1533-position model. The record is from RNAcentral. Lineage: Bacteria; Pseudomonadati; Bacteroidota; Bacteroidia; Bacteroidales; Bacteroidaceae.
UACGGAGGAUGCGAGCGUUAUCCGGAUUUAUUGGGUUUAAAGGGAGCGUAGACGGCCGUUUAAGUCAGCUGUGAAAUGGUGCGGCUCAACCGUAGCACUGCAGUUGAAACUGGUCGGCUUGAGUGCAGUUGAGGCAGGCGGAAUUCGUGGUGUAGCGGUGAAAUGCUUAGAUAUCACGAAGAACCCCGAUUGCGAAGGCAGCCUGCUAAGCUGCAACUGACGUUGAGGCUCGAAAGUGUGGGUAUCAAACAGG